GAAUACACGUAACAGUGCUCUGCGCCAUUUUCCCCUGGUGGCUCCCCUCCCGCUGCCGGUCCAGCCACUAUUGUGCCACAUGCUGCCAUGGCCUCAUGGCCUGCAGCGUCUCAGGACACUCAGAGAACUGCCAUAUUGGAGAUACGUGGCUCCCACAGCAGAGGUUCCAGCUUCUAAAUAGAGGCUUCCUUCAGGGGGUUGCAGGAAGACCCACGCUGUUUGCCCCAGGCCUUCCGUGUGAGGCCGGCCGAACCCCAGCAGUGCUGCAGGCUUUUUGUGCAACAUCAAAAUAUGUCUGUUGUGGGCAAAAUGGUCUCAAGUGGCAACUUCUGCUUUAUUGUCAAUUAACACAAAAUGCUGAUCGCUCAUUUGGGUAUUUAGAAAGCACACAAAUGAUCAGCCACUUACAUGAACACCUGUCCUACCUCCAGCAUGAACGUCCUUAUUUUCACCACAGGUUACAUGCAGCUUGUCAGAAUGCCUCUGGCAAGCUGCAAGGCAGCGUGAGCAGCCCAAGGGACUUCUGUAAGGCUCUUUUGCUGCUGAGCACCUCUUUCUUAAAGGCUGUCCCUACCCCAGAACAGACCACUAUAGGACACAGGCCCUGAGAGGUGUCCAAGCUACAGCAUAAUAGAUCUGUAGACUGCAGCCUGUCUCUCAGAGAUGCACGUACCCAUUCUGCUAUGAAAUGGAUUUCCAGCCCCAUAUUUGGGAGAUCCCUCAUUAAGUGCACCUGUCCUGCUCUGCUCAUUUGCAGUGAUGGUGCUCAGCUGGUUCCUCUUUGCUGCUGACCUCAGCCCAGAGCUGAUUGGUUCUCACUGUGACUGGCUCAGGGCUGCAGCUUAGGAGUGCCCUCAGGCUGAAACCUGGGGUCUCCUGGAUACCACAGCCCCUUGGUGGCUGUCUGAGGGUAUGAGCUGAGCUACGUCUGUAGGCUGAAGUACCAUCAGGGCUCUCUGGGCCAUACUCUAAGGAGGAUGCAGAGACAUGUGCCCACCAAAGCCCCUCGGGUGUUGACAGCUGCUGCUGCUGCCCAAUGCUCCCUGUGUGGCAGCAUGACCUUUCAGGGACCUCUCUGGCUACCUCCUUGCUGAAGCAGAGAUCCUUCACAGCCCCCAGCGUGAGGUUGAGGGGGCCCUGAGCAGAGCACGCAGAGGAGGCCGAACAGAUGGGAGGUGCCCA
RNAcentral lists this long non-coding RNA (1182 nucleotides) under Gallus gallus (chicken). RNAcentral describes it as "lncRNA (ENSGALG00010018116.1)". The record is from RNAcentral. Lineage: Eukaryota; Metazoa; Chordata; Aves; Galliformes; Phasianidae.